Oreochromis aureus is the source of this 1961-nucleotide long non-coding RNA. NCBI's taxonomy places the organism in Eukaryota, Metazoa, Chordata, Actinopteri, Cichliformes, Cichlidae. The record is from Ensembl.
UGUAAAGCCAAGGAAAAGUCAGCUCCAAGAAGAGUAACAGUAAGCUCACUGCCUAAAAACGCUGUUAAUGAUAAAUGCUGGCUAACAAAAAAUAACCAAAACUUUCCACUGAGACAACUUAUCAACAUUUAAAGAUGGUUUUAGCUCAACAGGGAGAAAAUUAAAAAUUCACUGUCUCACAUGACUGUUUCAGCAGUCUUAUCUGUUGGCAUAACAUCUUUCAUAGAAUUAUGAAUUAUAUGCAUUUCACUAUAACAUUGAUGUGAUGACUGGCUAGCUAGGAAGCUACACCAUCAUUCAUGAAAAUACUAGCCGAAUUAAUUUGACCAAAGAUUGCCAAAAUAAUUUAACUGCAAUGUUAUCAACAAAACUUCAAAAAAGCUAUCUUGUCUACCAAGUUCAUUAAUACAGGUCCGUGUUGAUUGGUUCCCUGAAUCCACAGUAUCAUUGCCUCAUGCUAUAACAGUGCUAAGAAGCCAACUCAUUGUUAGUUGUCUCUCUAUGCUCAUCUUUAUUCCCCUUUUCCCCUCCUUGCAGCAGAUGGCUGCCCCUAACUGAGCCUAGCUCUUCUGGAGUUCUCUUCCUGUUAAAAGGGAGUUCUUCUUUUCCACUGUCACCAAGUGACUGCUCACAGGGAAUUGUCUGAUCGGUGGGGUUCUUGUGCGUUCUUGCAAUAUAAAAACUCCUUGAGGUAAAGCCAGGUCAACUAGGGCUAUAUAAAAUGGUGAAUUAAAUUAGCUUCUCCUUAUUGCAAGUUUUUUAUUCCAUUUACUGUCCGGCUGUCAGGCCUCUUCUCACAGCACCUGCCACCACAAUCAUCUACUAUGGCCCACGGGUCCUUAAUUUGACAAACUUAGCAUCUGCGUUUUGGCUUUUGGCUUUCUCCACAAGUGCCUUCCCUUUUUCUCCUACCCAUUUUGGCACGCUGACUAUUUUUCCUGAUGUGUUGUUGAAAGACCGGUGCGUCCACCCAAAUGCAAAUGCUUAUAUUGGCUUACAGGAAAAGUGCCCAUUCUGCCAGAUGGCCAGCCCUGGACCUCAUGCAUGACAUCACAUGUAUACAUGUUCUCAUACACAUGCACGAUACAACCAAAGAUUUUGCUCUAGUAGAGCUCCUAAAAUCAAACAAACUCUACAAGGUACCUUUGAAUAACAAACACACAUUAAACAGAAAGUUUUAAAACAUGGGCAAUCAGUUUUCUAAAAAUUACACUGGAAAAUUGUAAAAGAUUUAAAACACUUUUGAUUUUUUUUUUAUCAAAUGCAUAAAGACAUUUUGUAUGCAGUUCGAAUGCAUUUUGCCAUAAUGUAUCUGCUUUAAAAGAAAACCACAUGUAACAGAAAAGGAGAACAAUUGUGUUACAAGCUACAAGCUUAGGUUGGUUUGUGUGUGCAAGGGUGUCGUAAUAGAGCACGGGCCCAGCAGAGGAGAACACAGUUAACAGCUGCUGAAAUUUGUCUCAGUGAGGAAAUAAUGAGAUAAGUAGAACUGAAAAUGCACGGAUAUUUGAAAGGCAUUAAAGUGUUUCGUCUGAGAUUUAAAGUAGAGUUUUUGUAACAAUCGUGGAGUGACGGAAGUACAUUUCCAGUUUUUAACACUGCGCUUCACUCAGAAUGUUCUCUCUCAAACAAGUCAGAUCUUCUAUUUUUCUAUCGAUCUCUAUUUUUGUACACUUUGUGUUCAGCCGAAUUAGCAGACAAGGCUGUGUCACUGAAUUUAAAGGUGCUUUUCUGUGUAUUAAUUUUGGCUGAUGGAGACCUGCUUUGGUGAAUACAGUGGUUGAGAUUUACAUUAACACAUGUUCAUUGUUCUGCUCUGAGCUGUUUCAUGUUGAUUUCUGUUGCUGUAAAGAGAUUGUUUCAUUAUUUUUCAGUGUUUUCAACAGAAAUCCUGCUUGAACCUGAAAAUAAACAUCUGAUGAUUGUGUUCAAGUGCAGCAAUUUCUUAAUUAAAAGCAAAA